RNAcentral lists this ribosomal RNA (1179 nucleotides) under Cellulosimicrobium cellulans. RNAcentral's name for it is "bacterial SSU rRNA". It matches the Rfam family "Bacterial small subunit ribosomal RNA", at positions 34 to 1282 of the family's 1533-position model. Lineage: Bacteria; Bacillati; Actinomycetota; Actinomycetes; Micrococcales; Promicromonosporaceae. The record is from RNAcentral.
UGCAUCGCUGCGUGCCGUCCUGCAGUCGUACGAUGGAUAGCCCAAACUUGCUGGGCGGAUUAGUGGCGAACGGGUGAGUAACACGUGAGUAACCUGCCCUUGACUUCGGGAUAACUCCGGGAAACCGGGGCUAAUACCGGAUAUGAGCCGCCUUCGCAUGGGGGUGGUUGGAAAGUUUUUCGGUCAGGGAUGGGCUCGCGGCCUAUCAGCUUGUUGGUGGGGUGAUGGCCUACCAAGGCGACGACGGGUAGCCGGCCUGAGAGGGCGACCGGCCACACUGGGACUGAGACACGGCCCAGACUCCUACGGGAGGCAGCAGUGGGGAAUAUUGCACAAUGGGCGAAAGCCUGAUGCAGCGACGCCGCGUGAGGGAUGAAGGCCUUCGGGUUGUAAACCUCUUUCAGCAGGGAAGAAGCGCAAGUGACGGUACCUGCAGAAGAAGCGCCGGCUAACUACGUGCCAGCAGCCGCGGUAAUACGUAGGGCGCAAGCGUUGUCCGGAAUUAUUGGGCGUAAAGAGCUCGUAGGCGGUUUGUCGCGUCUGGUGUGAAAACUCGAGGCUCAACCUCGAGCUUGCAUCGGGUACGGGCAGACUAGAGUGCGGUAGGGGAGACUGGAAUUCCUGGUGUAGCGGUGGAAUGCGCAGAUAUCAGGAGGAACACCGAUGGCGAAGGCAGGUCUCUGGGCCGCAACUGACGCUGAGGAGCGAAAGCAUGGGGAGCGAACAGGAUUAGAUACCCUGGUAGUCCAUGCCGUAAACGUUGGGCACUAGGUGUGGGGCUCAUUCCACGAGUUCCGUGCCGCAGCAAACGCAUUAAGUGCCCCGCCUGGGGAGUACGGCCGCAAGGCUAAACUCAAAGGAAUUGACGGGGGCCCGCACAAGCGGCGGAGCAUGCGAUUAAUUCGAUGCAACGCGUAAGAUCUUACACGCUUGACAUGCACGAGAGCUACCAGAGAUGUGUCUCUUUGACACUCUGCACAGUGGUGCAUGUGUCGUCAGCUCUGUCGUGAAUGUUGGUUAGUCGGCACGAGGCUACUCGUCAUGUGCAAGCGGUAUGCAGGACUCAUGGUAACUGGCGGGUCAAUCGAGACGGUGGAUGACUCAAUCCUAUGACUAUGUCUUGGCUCACAUGUCAAUUGCGUCAACGCUGUAUCGUAGUACAUUCACGAUAUUCGAUUG